CCUCCUCUUGCCUUUUAUCCUCUGUGGCAGAGCAUCAGAACACUCUCCUUUUGGAUUUCUACAUGGGGUCUUCCAAGAAGGUUACCAUCUCAGUGCUCAGCCGGGAGCAGUCAGAAGGGGUUGGAGCACGGGUACGCAGAAGCAUCGGCAGACCCGAGGUAUGUUAGUUGGGUGGCUGCUCCUGUUUUCUCUUCAGAAGGAACUGGUGGGAUGUUGAGGAUGAUUUGGAAAGAGAGGGCCAAGAUGGGCAUGAGCUUCCCUGUGCAGUGCCAUAGAUACAAACUCUAAGCUUCAUGAUUGAGGCCACAUGCAGACCAUCCCUAUCCUAAAGGGAAGUUCUAGAAUGUGAAUACAGAAGUCCGGGGCAACAAGUACAGUUGAGCUUCAGGAAGUGUGUCUGCUUCUGUCUGCACAUCCACCUUGGGCUGACCUGCUCUCUGAUUUAGCAUGUGCAUCACUGAACAUAUAGCUCCUCAGUUUAUAUGCUCACAAUUCAAAGUAUUUGGGAGUAAUUUUGGGUCUCAGUUCUAAAUUCCCAGGAGACAGAAUUGAUUAGCCUAGCAUGGGUCAGGUAUCUAUUCCUGGUCAAUCCCAAAGUGUCGGGGAUUUGGAUUCACAGAGAGACUGCUUAAGACUCAACUCUGUAGACUUCUGGUGAGGGGCCCAUAGAUGGGGACUCAGUAAAGGUGAGAUAGAUAUUUUCAACAUUAGAGAAUCUUUUCACUUGAAUUAUAUUGGGAACUUGAGAUUUAAAGGGGAAUAAAUUCUUAGUAUAUAUUAUUUGUCAAUUCAAAAAAAUAAAUAAGAGGUAUCAAAUAGUAGUCAUAGCCCCGGGGCCAUACCAGAUUCCAAAAUUAUUUUUGAAUAAGAGGAAAUGCAUAAGAGAAAUGGAUUCCAUUUUGAGAAGUAAGGCUGAGUUGUCAAUCCUCUUAAACUCUAUUCAGAUUGUACCUUUUUUUUGUUUGUUUUAUUUAUUUAUUUUGGUACCGGGGAUUGAACUCAGGGGCACUCAACCACUGAGCCACAUCCCCAGCCAUAUUUUGUAUUUUAUUUAGUGACAGGGUCUCAGUGAGUUGCUUAGAGCCUCACUGUUGUUAAGGCUGGCUGUGAUGCGCGAUCCUCUUGCCUCAACCUCCCUAUCCACUGGGAUUAUAGGCGUGUACCACUGUGCCGGGCCAGUACCUUGUUUUAAAAAUAUUUUUUAGUUGUCAAUGGACUUUUAUUUUAUUUCUUUAUAUGCGGUGCUGAGAAUGGAACCCAGUGCCUCACAUUUGCUAGGCCAGUGCUCUACCACUGAGCUACAACCCCAGCCCCUCAGAUAGUAUCUUGCUACUUUGUGGCUAAACCUAAGUUUUAUGCCACUCAUUACAUAAGACUUACUGUCUGCACCUUUAAACAAAAAGUUAUCUUUGAAAAUUGCUUACAGGGUUUUUAAAACAUGGCUUUCCUCAGUGAAUGUGGCUGUGCAUUGUUGAUAGAUUGGAUAUUUUUUAAAAAGUAGUUAUUUAUUUUUUUGAAUUGACAAAUAAAAAUUGCAUAUACUAUCCCAGCACCUCAGGAGACUGAGGCAGAAGGAUUGUGAGUUCAAAGCCAGCCUCAGCAACUUAGUCAGGCCCUAAGCAAAUUAACAAGACCCUGUUUGUAAAUAAAAUAUUAAAAAGGGCUAGACAUGUGGCUCAGUGCUUAAGCACAAUCCCUAGUACUAAAAGACUUGACCAGAAGAACUUGAGAGGAGGAAAAGUUUAUUUGAGGGCUCAUAGUUUCAAGGGUAGCUGAUACUUUAAUGAGUCCAACCGUCCAUAGACAGCUGGCUCCAUUCCUCCGGGCCUGAGGUGAGGUCGGAACAUCAUGGUGGAAGAGUGUGGCAGAGGGAAGUAGCUCACAUGAUGAUCAGAAAGAGAGAAACUUCACUUUCCAGAUACAAAAUAUACACCCAAAGCCACGCUCCCAGUGCCUACCUUCUCCAGCCACACCCUGCCUGCCUUCAGUUACCACUGGUUUAAUCCCAUCAGGGGAUUAAUUCACAGAUUGGUUAAGGCUCUCAUAACCCAAUUAUUUCUCCUGUAAGCCUUCUUGCCUUGACUCACACAUGAGCUUUUGGGGGACACCUCACAUCUAAACCACAACAUAUGUGUACAUUGUGAAAUGGCUAAAUGAAGCUAAUUAACAUAAGUAUUAUUUCACAUCAUAUUUUUUUUUUCUUUUAGUGGUGAGAAUGCUGAAAAUCCCUGGUCUAAAUAACUUCCAAGGGUACAAUACAUUGUCAUUAAUUGUAGUCCCCAUGUUGUGAAAUGGAUCUAUUAAACUUGUUCCCUAAAUGAAAUUUUGUGACCUUUGACUAACAUUUCUCCAGCAUCCCCACCCCUACCCCUGGUAGCCACUGUUCUCUGCUUCUACUUGUUUAGAUCCCACAUAUAAGUGAGAUCACGCAGUAUUUAUCCUUGUGUGCUGACUUUAUUUCACUGAGCAAGAAUAUUGCUGACUGGCCAUUGAAGUAGGGGGUGAAUUGUCAACCUAAUUCUGCAGCCAGUCUACCAGGUUUCCCUGGCUGUUACCUUGCUAUUUCUCUUUACAGGGUUAACUUCUUGUUUACCCACAAAUAUCUCUCAAGGCCCAUCAAAUAUUGUUUGCCAAGGAUACAUGCAGACUGGUUGGUACUAAGAGCUAAAUGCGUAGGGGCAGAUGGAGGUGGUGUCAUAUUCUACUAUGCUCCAUCAACAACAGAACAAUUGGAAAGAUUUCUCAAACACUACAGACACCUCUCAGUUAACUGUUAUUGUAUGUCAAGGGUAGCUAAUACUUUAAUGAGUCCAACCAUCAAGAACACAUUUGCUGAGGAUUUUCUGAAAAAGAAAUUUUGAUCUGUUUGGUGGUCUGAUGAAACCUAUCAAUUCCUUUGCAAAACAAUGUUUUUAGAUAUAUAAAAUAGCUGGGUGCUAUGGUACAUACCCAUAAUGCCAACCACAUGGAAGACUGAGGCAGGAGAAUUGCAAUUUCAAAGUCAGCCUCAGCAACUUAGGGUCUCGCUAAGUUGGUUAGGGCUUCACUGUCUCUAAAUUUAAAAAUAUUAAAAAAAGAGCUGGGUGUGGUAGUGCACACUUGUAAUUCCUGCAGUUUUGGAGGCUGAGACAGGAGGAUUGCAAGUUCAAAGCCAGCCUCAGCGAAAGCAAGGUGCUAAGCAACUCAGAGAGACCCUGUCUCUAAAUAGGGCUGGGGAUGUGGCUCAGUGGUUGAGUAUCCCUGAGUUCAAUCCCUGGUACCCACCCACCACCCCACAAAAAACAAAACAAAACAAAAAAAUUAAAAAGGGCUGGGGAUGUGGUUCAGUGGUUAAGCACCCUGGAUUCAAUCCCUGGUACCAAAAUAAAUAAAUAAACAAAUACGUAAAAUAAACCACAGAGGAUUACCAAGAAAAAAUUUUAUACUACAAUAUGGUUAAAAUUUUCGAGAACCACUGGUGCAGUGCUAUACACCUGUAGUGCCAGCACUCCUUGGGCUGAGAUAGGAGCUUUGCAAGUUUGAAAGCAGCCUCGAUAACUUAGUGAGACCCUUAUCAACCGAGGGAGACUGGUUUUGGAGAAUGCUCUUACACACAGCUGAACCUAAUCCUAAAUGAUAUAAAGCCAAUAAUACCUGAGGUAGCAGGGUACAAUCAAGUGAUUCUAGGUUAGCCUACAUCAAGACAAGAUUGUAGGGCUGGGGUUGUGCCUCAGUGGUAGAGCACUUGCCUUAAAUGUGAGGUACUGGGUUUGAUUCUCAGCACCACAUAUAAAUAAAAAAUAAAGGUCCAUCAACAACUAAAAUGAAUGAAUAAAUAAAAUUAAAAAAAAGACAAGAUGGCAGCAGCAAAGGGAGACCCUCCUCACUACGUUAUUCAUGACCCUAUUUUUGACCAUUUAGGUUCUUGCUGUGUUUUUGUUUGUUUGUUUGUUUUUUGGUACUGAGGAUUGAGCCCAGAGGCACUUAAUGACUGAGCCACAUCCCCAGUCCUUUUUUAUUUAGAGAGAGGGUCUCACUGAGUUGCUUAGGGCCUUGCUAAGUUGUUGAGGCUGGCUUUGAACUCAUUAUUCUCCUGCCUCAGCCUCCAGAGCUGCAGGGAUCACAGGCGUGUGCCACUGUCCUGAAUGUUGCCAUGUUUUCUCAGCACUACGCACUACCAUCUUGUCAGAAAGGUAGACCCCUAGUCUCAUCAGCAGAGAAUAAAGCCAUUUGUCUAAUGUCAAGGAAGUUACUUUUCAAAUUCUCUGCACUAAGGUUUAGAUCUCUGAAGAAAUAUCUCAUAAACAUUGGAUCCCAGUGCUAUUUUUUUGUACAAGGGAUUGAACUCGGGGGCACUCAACCACUGAGCCACAACUCCAGAUCUAUUUUGUAUUUUAUUUAGAGACAGGGUCUCACUGAGUUGCUUAGCACCUCACUUUUGCUGAGGCUGGCUUUGAACCUCCAAUCCUCCUUCCUUAGCCUCCUGGGCUGUUUUACAGGUGUGCACCACUGCGCCUGGCUCAUAUCCAUGUUUUUAGUAUCCACAAUGAUUGACUCAUGGGCAAUCUUAUUUUGUGUAUAUCCUCCUCUAUUUCUCCCCUUAAAGCAUUUUGAAGGGACCCCUAGCCAUCUUUUCAUUUAUAUAUAUUUUCAGUCUAUAAAAGAGAAAAAUUGAAACUAUAUGUAUGAAUACAAUCCCAUUAUCACACUUAUAACUUAAAAUAAUUACUUAAUAUCACCAAAUAGCCCUGCCAAAUCUUGGUCUUCAUUGAUUUAGCCCCUGUAGCUGGUGCUCACCAUUAUCAAGAUACUGAGUUAAGGUAGAGGGUGUAAGAGUCACAGCUCAAGAUAGUUCAAGGCUUUAUCUAGAUUUCUGUCUGGGAUAUGUGCUUGUGGUCUCCUAAAACCUCAAGCCACAGUCUAGAUGCUGAGUAAGCCUAGGAGGUUAAGCCUCUGAGCUGCUAGAGGGCCUCCCUUUUUUGCUGCCAUCUUGUCUUGAUGUAGGCUAACGUAGAAUCACUUGAUUGUACCCUGCUACCGCAGGUAUUAUUGGCUUUAUAUCAUUUAGGAUUAGGUUCAGCUGUGUGUAACAGCAUUCUCCAAAACUAGUGGAUAACAGAAGUGUUUGUAUUUCUGUUUUGUAAAGCCCCAAAAUAGGCAGUCAGGGGGUUAAAGGCCUCACUGUUACUCAUUCUAUCUUAGGUCAUAAUUCUUGUUUAUUCCUUAUGGUCCAAGACAACUAUUAGGGCUAUGUUAGUCAUCUUUACAUUGCAGUGAUCAAAAUACCUGACAAGACAAUUUAGAGGAGGAAACAUUUAGACUCAUGGUUUCAGAGGUUCAGUUCAUGGUAGGCCAACUCCAUUGCUUUGGGCCUGAGAUGAGGCAACAUCAUGGCGGAAGGGCAUAGUGGAGGAGUGCUGCUCUGUUUCUGGCAGCCAAGAAACAGAGGGGAAGAAUCCAGGAAGCAGAGAGAGGGGUAAGGGGCCACAGGGAAGAUGAACCCUUCCAGGUAUGUUCCCAGUGAGCCACCUCCUCCAGUCAUGCCACCCCUGCCUACAGUUACCACAUAGUUAGUUCAUUCAAACUAGGAUGGAUGCUUUAGGUUACAUUUCUCAUAAUCUGAUCAUUUUGCCUCUGAAUAUUCCUGCAUUAACAUAGGAGCUGGGGGGCAGGGGCAUACCUUAUAUCCAAGCAACAACAAGGGCAUCAACAACCAUUUACACUCGGCCACACAAAGGAGGAAGAGGGGAAAGGAAAAAGAACACACCUCAGCUGUCCAUCCCCCUUUUAUAAGGAAUUUUCCUAAAGGCUCCACUCUGUAAUUUCUACAUUGUGGCUAGUUUCAAUCAUAUGACCACACCUAGCUACAGAAAACUAGGGAAUCUAACACAAGUACUACUCAGGAUUUUUUGUGGGGUACCUUCCUUGUAUAUAGAAGUAUUCUAAAUUCAGUGGGGCAUCAUAACAAAAGCACAGCCCUAGCAUCAUAACAAAAGCACAGCAUGUGUCCUAUCCCCAGGGAACUGCCAUUCCUAGUUGGUACUUCCAGUGCUUCCUGACUUAAACAAAUACCAGGCUGCUGGAGUUUUAUUAUGCAAGUGCUGUGGGCCAAGGGGUGGUGACCACAGAUUUUGAUUGACUUUCUCAGGAGAUCAAAAGAAAUAACUUGGAAGAUACAGCUUGAAUUUGGCAGUUAAAGGAUUUGGAAGUGUGUACAGGAAAGGAAAAAUUUAAAAGACCAUCAAUUUGAUAUGUAGAGAAAGAAAUAUGUGAUUGAGUUGGGGUCUUAGUUAAAACAGGUUAGAAAAUCAGUUUUCAUAUAAACUGAUCUUAUAUACAGAUAACAUUUAUUUAACACAUUGUGGAAUCUAUGCUCAAUGUUUAGAGAAUAUUAGGAACUUUGAUAAGGACUAUUUUUUUCUUUUUUAAAAUAUCUUUAUUUUGUUUGUUUGUUUAUUUAUUUAUUUAUUGUUUAUUUAUAUAUGGUGCUAAGGAUCGAACCCAGUGCCUCACAUGUGCAAAGCAAGUGCUCUACCACUGAGCCACAACCCCAGCCCCAAGUACUAAUUCUUGACCCUGCAAAUAACACUUUAGUACAAUAGUUUAACACAAGAUACUCAUACUUAUUGGAGAAAGAUAGUCUCUAACACUAUCUUUCACCUUUUGGCCACUAAAACUAGUUGUUACAGAGCUGGGGCCUUCUGGGAAAUUGAGGCAUGAAGAGACCCCCCCCCUUCAAACCCCAGUUCUUUCGAUCAAGUCAGAAAGAUUUCAGACAUGUCACUCAAAGUAACAGGCAUGAAUUGAUUGAAGGUAUAGAAAAAGGGAAAGGAGACACUCUCAAGGGAGAGAGAGGGUCCUAUGAGAGAUAUGAGGGACAGUUUGCCUCUCUUGCACUCCAGUUUUAUUGGGGAUCCCAGAGAAGUUUCCAGAGACUCCUACCCAGGUUCACUUCUUGACUUUUGACUGACAGCAGGGUGACAUCAGACAUCUACAUCCCCACUGCCAUGACCACUCUAGUUAUAUUGGGCCUUGCUGACUGGUUCUAAUUGGAUUCUUAACCUUUCUUUUAUGGUUAAGAUUUUGUGGUUAGGAAGAAUUACCCUUAUCUCCCUUGAGUUUCAGGAUCUGGUCACCAAAGUCUCCUGGGUUCCUCCCAUCAACUUUAUCUUGGGUCUGCAUUUCACCUGCAGUUAACAGGUAGUUUGCUCAGGAAUGUGACAUAUCGGUCCAAUUAUGCCCUGCAGGGCUGCAGGUAAAUUGCUUCUUGAAAAAGAAAGCAUGUGGGGCCAGCACAGUGGGCCCAUCUUAUAGAAUUAUUCUCUUGUGUUCCCACCAUCCUCAUCUGUCUGUCCCCUAUCAAGGUCAUCCCUCUGACUCGCUUCAACCAACCCCCUGGCUUCUGUAAUCUCUUCCUGGUCAUGGCUUUCUUCCUGUGUGUGUUGCUACAUCAUGGUUUGGUGACCAGUAUUACAAAUAGUUUUGAUAUGGUUGAAAUUAUCCUCAAAUUGAUAUGUUGAGACCCUAAUCUCGAAGGUGAUGUUAUCAGCAGGUGGAGGCCCUCUGGAGGUAGGUCAUGGGGCUGGGACAUACCAUAGAGUCAGCUGGCCCCUUCCAGUAUGUGAGGACACAGCUAGAAGUUGCCAUCUAUGAACCAGGGGGUGGAUCCUCACCAAAUUCUGAAUUUGCUGGUGCCUUAAUCUUGGAUUUCUCAGCCUCCAGAACAAUAAGAAAUAUACAUAUAUAUAGUCAUUUAUAAGCCACUCAGUUUAUGGUAUAUUGUUUUAGCACCUCAAAAAGAAUAAGAAAAUUGGCACCAAGAGAGGGGUCAUUCUUCCAUUGUUUUGGACAAUAUAUCCUAGCUUCUGUUUAAAAUGGCUCCUUAUCAAGUGGUGAUUUGGCCACAUCCUUGGUUUUUCUCCCACACAUUUCUUUACAAUGAGAAAGCUUUAUUCCAAGUAGGCUGAAGAUUUUCCAAAUCUUUUAAGCUCUACUUCCCUUUUAAUUAGCAAUUAUUUAUUUAUUUAUACUGAGAAUUAGACCCAGAGGUGCUAAACCAUGGAGCCACAACUCUAGCCCUUUUUAUUUUUUAUUUUGAGACAAGAUUUUGGCAAGUUACUUAGGGCCUCACUAAGUUGCUGAUGCUGGCCUUAAAUUUGUAAUCCUCCUGCCUCAGCCUCCAGAGCUGCUGGGAUUAUAGGUGUGUGCCACCAUGCCCAGCUUAAUGAUUAACUCCUACAUGUACUUUAAGACCUCCUUUAUUCUACCUCAUUCUCACAUGUGUAAAAUUGUCUUUCCUUAGAGCAUUUACAAUCACAUUGCAUUACUUGGUUUUGUAGUCUGUUCCAUUAUGAAUCUCUUUAGGACACAGAUGAUCUUAUUUGUACUUCACUAUUUAUAUCUCAAGUGAUUAUGAAAUGUUUGUUCACUCUUAGUAAAACAUCAACUCUCUAACACAAUCAGCAAAAAAAAAAAAAAAAAAAUUUUUUUUUUUUGUUUUUGGUACCAGGGAUUGAACUCAGGGGCACUCAACCACUGAGCCACAUCCCCAGCCCUAUUUUGUAUUUUAUUUAGAGACAGGGCCUCACUGAGUUGCUUAGCACCUUGCCAUUGCUGAGGCUGGCUUUGAACUCGAGGUCCUCCUGUCUGAGGCUCCCGAGCCACUGAGAUUAUAGGUGCGUACCACCGUACAGGCAGAAAUAAGGAAUUCUUCCUGAAAGCAAUUUUCAUCACAAGAAGUUGCUUUCUGGCUAUGUAGUUUUUGAUGAGUUUUGCUAAAUCGGUUCAUGAAUGCAGUCUCUGGUAUCAUGGCUGAAAAAGCACAUCUAAUCUGAUGAAUUAUAUUUUGAUUUCAGUUAAAAAAUCUGGAUCCGUUUUUACUUUUUGAUGAAUUUAAAGGAGGUAGACCUGGUGGGUUUCCUGAUCAUCCACAUCGAGGUUUUGAAACAGUAAGUAUGAUAAUUUGCUUGUGAAAGUGUGUAUUUUAAAACUCACUUCUAAUUGAAAAUUCAAUUUUGGAAUAAUGGAUAAUAGACUAAAAUUCAUUUUAUAAGUUUCUGGCUAUGCACUGUCUUACCAUAGAACUGUAAUAUCAAUUUUACAUGAGAUGUACUCAAGUUUAAGUAUUUACUAUUAAUAUUCUUUGGAUUUGUGCCACUGGAGGCAUUUCAUUUGAGCAGUUAAUAAGCAAAAAUUGGCUUCUUAAAGUACUUUUAUAAUUAAAAAAAUUUACUGGAGAUGAAAAAACUAUUUAAGAUGUGAUUAGUUAUGUCUAUCUAUCUAUCUAUUUCUAUUUCUAUGCAAGAAUAGAUACAUUUAACCCCAUGUAAUAUAAACCCCCAAAGACAAUUCAAGAACUCAGUGAGUAUUUAUACUAGGUUCUAAGAAAUUAUAGAAUCAGGGGGCCAAAAUGCAACAUAGCCUAAAAAUUAGGGUUUUGAGGACAUACUUAGACCUUUGCAAGUUUAAUUGCAAAAUUUAGAGAUUCUGUUGAAUAAUAUUUUUAGUUUUGAUUAGAUAUGGAAAAAAUAUGCAAUAUAAUAUUGUGGCACAUUCAAUGUUUUCCAUAUAUAUAUAUAUAUUUUUUUUUUUUUUCUGGGAAAACUCAGUGACACUUCCUGUUACAAAGUUUAGCCAUUUCCUCUUUAUUUUUUUUUUUUUUAAUAUUUAUUUUUUAGUUUUCAGGACACAACAUCUUUAUUUUAUUUUUAUGUGGUGCUGAGGAUCGAACCCAGUGUCCCGCGCGAACGCGUUACCACUUGAGCCACAUCCCCAGCCCUGCUCUUUAUUCUUAACAAAUAAUCCAGGGCUUGUUAAAGGUUUAAUAUAUUUGCAAAGCCAAUUAGUGAAUAAGUAAAUAUUUACUGAAGGCUGGUGACAUGCAAGUGUUGGUAUAGGGUGAUCUUUUGUAUUUCCGUGUGUUUAUUGUGUGUUGGGGACUGUUGGUACAAGGCAGAAGGAGUGAGGCUAAAGAAGAAUGGGGCAUGAUCCUUACUCAUAUCCAUAUGUGGUCUAGUUAAGGAUAUGAAAGCUGGCUAGAGAGUUAGCCAUCAUUGUGUAGAAGUUAAACGAACCCAGAAACUUCUAGAAACAGGAUCAGGGUAGUUGGGAUCUGUCUUCCUUUAGCAAUUUGCCAUCUAGUUCAUCUCUGCUAAUAUAUCAGGAGCACUGUGCUUUACAAACACAAUUUCGGGAGCCAUGUGUCUCAUGUUCUCUAUAUCCAUGUUGGAUUCCAACACUUUUCCCAGAACAUGUCUCUGCAUACCUCCCUCUAGUUUCCAUCUUACUAAUCCCUUAAAAAUUUUUAAAACGUCAUUAUGUCCAUCAAGUUUUCCAGACAAUCCCAAGAGGAUGCACUUUCUCCUUUGUUUGAUCUGCAUAGCGUUAUAUUUUUUACUAGUCUCACAUCCAUUAUAUAUUAAAGGUGAUCUUGAUCAUUUUCUGUCUGUCUUGUGUUAGAGUUGGGACUUACCUCAACCUCCCCUCACCACACCCAAGAAAACUAUAAAUUGCUUCAGUAACUACUGGCUAAAAUUAAUUGGAUAAUAAAGAUGACUUUUGCUGAAGACAACAAGUAUAUUUAAUAAAAUGAAUAGGGAAACAUAUUACUUUCAUUUCCAUUAUGGAAAGUGCCUUCUAAGGGGACUGUUUUAUAUAUUGGAAGGCAUUCAACUACAAAAACUCAACUGUGAAAUAUCCAUGUUUGGUGCUUUCUUUUUAAAAAUUUUCCUUAAAUCUGUAAAUUAGUAAUCACAAGUGAUGCUCAUUAUUUGUGGAUUGCAUAUUCAUGAAUUCACCUACUUGGAAAAUUCACUAGUAACCCCAAAUCAAUACUUGUGGGGCUUUUGUGGUAAUUCAUGGACAUGUAUGGAGUGGUGCAACUUUGGAGUUGCCCAGUGUUCAUGUUCCCAGCUAAGGUUGAAUAAGGUGAUGCUCGGCUUUCUUGUUUCAGUUCUCAUAAUGUAAGCAAGCGUCCUUUUCAUGGUCUUAGUGCCACAUUUCUUAUAUUUUCAUGCUUCUUCUUGGUCAUUUCACUGUUUAAAGUGGCUCCCAAGCAUAGUUCCACAGUGCUGUCUAGAACCCCUACGCACAAGAAUACAGUUAAUGUAGGGCUGGGGUUGUAGCUCAGUGGUAGAGUGCUUGCCUUGAAUGCGUGAGGCCCUGGAUUCGAUCCUCAGCACCACAUAAAAAUAAAGAUAUUGUGUUCAUUAACUGAAAAUAAAUAAACAAAGAAUACCGUUAAUGUGUCUUUUCUCAUGGAGAACAGUGUAUCUUACAUAAACUGUGUUCAUGUAUGAAUUGUAGCACUGUUGGCUGAGAGUUCAAUGUCAAUUAAUUGACAAUACAUAUUACAUAAUGUGUCUUUAAACAGAAACACAUAAAACAGAGUCAGAUAUUGACAGGUUUACAAAAAAUACUAUGGAGGCUUGAAGGAACCCAAUCCUGUAUUUCCUGUAGGAACAGUGGUUCAGCAUUCAUUAAUCCAGUGAUCAUGGUAACUUUAUAAAACAUAACUGCCUUGAAUCAUGAGAAAUGACUUUGUCGGUUUUCCCCACGAGGGUUGGUAAGCCAGGGACUCAACUAUCUCUUCAUAUGGACUUUAAAAAGUCUACAAUUUGAAGCCAAGUUCACCUGUAGUCUCUCAUCACCUUUUCUCUGGAGGUUUAUCUAACUUAUACAGGCUUAUAAAUUUUGAAAAUGCUGGAAAAUAUAAAGAACAAACUUAGGAUGUGCUGUUAUGUUACCUUAGUGUACAAAAAUAUUGUUAUUUUCUAUCUAUUUUCCUCUAGUACUUUUCUGUUAUCUUGCUAUAUAUGUUUUGCAUUUUUUUUACCUAACAUUAUACUGUUAGCAUUUUUCUAAUAUUCUUCAAAAACCUAAUUUUUAUUGGUCUCAUUAAGUAUCUGCCAUGAUGAUUGUACCAAUUGACAUUAUCUUGGUGAAGUAUGAAAGCAACUAUUUUCUUUCAAUAUCACCAACAUAAUGCAUUUUUAAAUCUUUGCUCUUUUUCUUUCUUUCUUUUUUCUUUUUUUUUGACUGGGAAUUGAAACAAGAGGCGGGUGCUUUAUCAUUGAGCCAUAUCCCCAAUCUUUUAUUAAAUUUUUUUAUUUUUUAUUUUGAGACUGGAUCUCACUAAGUUGCUUAAGGCCUUGCCGAGUUGCUGAGGUUAGACUGAAACUUGUGAUGCUCCUGCCUCAGUCUCCUCAGUUGCAAGGAUUACAGAUGUGUGCCAUGGAUCCCAGCUAAAUCUUUGCUAUUUAGAGAAGUGAAAAACAAUGCCUCAUCAUAGUUUUAAUUGACAUUUCUUUUAUUUGAGCAAGACUGAUUUUCUUUUCAUUUUAAAACAUUCAUUUAUCAUAGAUAUUUAGAUCUUUGCCCUAUAUUUUUUCUGUUGUGCUGUAUUGUCAAUAGUGUGUAAACCAUGAGUAUCUUCUUUUCAGGCUAAUCUAAACUUUGGCAGGACUUGCCAAGGUUUAUUCUUUUUUGGCAGGGGUGGUGGUGGGGUGUGCUGGGGAUUGAUUUCAGGGGCACUCAAUCACUGAGCCACAUUCCCAGCCCUAUUUUGCAUUUUAUUUAGAGACAAGGUCUUACUGAGCUGCUUUAGCGCCUCGCCAUUGCUGAGGCUGGCUUUAAACUUGUGAUCCUCCUGCCUCAGCCUCCUGAGCUGCCUGGAUUACAGGCAUGCACCACCCCAUCCAGCUCAAGGUUUAUCCUUAUUGGUAUUAUUUUUAUUAUUUUACAUAAGUUCCUUAUAUAUUAAGGAAACAAGAUCCUCUUAGUGAUAGGAGGUGAAAUAGUGUUAAGAAAGAUUAGAAUGUUUUGCAUGUCUCCAAACAAAGCAUAGAUAGUAGUUAACUAAUAGAAGAACUUUCUAAGCUGGGUGUGGUGGUGCAUGCCGGUAAUCCCAGUGACUGAGGAGGCUAAGGCAGAAGGAUUGCAAGUUCAAAGUCAGUCUCAGCAACUUAGCAAGAGCCUGUCCCAAAAUAAAAAUAAAAAGGUCUGGGGAUGUGGCUUAGUGGUUAAGUGCCCCUGCAUUCAAUUCCCAGUACCAAAAGAUUUUAAAGAAGACUGAGCAGUAAGGGGUGGAAUAAUUUUGCAGUUAUCCAAUUUUUAGACUCUCCUGAUAUGAUAAUUUGUUUAGGGAAGCUAUAAAUAAUCACAAGCACAGGAUGAUCUAAAAAAUAAGAAAGCCCUGCCCAAGUUUAGUUUAGUUCAAAAAAGAGGUACUUAGCUAGGUGUAGUGGUGCAUUCCUGAGAUCCCAGUAGCUCAGGAGGAUUGUGAGUUCAAAGCCAGCCUCAGCCAUGGUGAGGAGCUAAGCAACUCAGUGAGACCCUGUCUCUAAAUAAAACACAAAAUAGGCUGGGGUUGUGGCUCAGUGGUCAAGUGCCCCUGAGUUCAAUCCCCAGUACCCGCACCCACCCCCUCAAAAAAAAAAAAAAAAAAGAGGUACUCACAGCACACACCUAUCCUGAGAAGAAACAUAUUUUGUGUCUUUCAAAAUUGCCUUUAAAUUAUGGUCUUAAGUCUUCCCAGGUUUUAUCACUGAAAAGUCUCAUGUCCCUGGGAACCCCUCAGACCUGAAUAAACUGAAAUGGUUAGUGGUUACUCCUGCGUCAUUUUAGGAUGGUCUCAUUCAUUAUGUUCUUAGUUAGGCUAAAAAGUAUUUAAAAAAAAGUUUUUUACUACAAGCCUCAGCAGGUCCUUUGAUUUUCUUCAUGAGAACAAAACCACCCUGUUUCCAAGGGUGUGCCUAUCAGAAAAGCCACACUCAUAAUAACUGGUUGGUAGCCAGCAGCAUUUGCAGGCAUUGCCUGAAAAAUAUCCUAGAGAGGAAGGGAAAGGCCCUAGUGAUUCACACCUAAAACUUAUGACCAAAUUCCAGCGUCCUAUCUCCCACACAGCCUGUUUCUUCUAGCUUGCUAUGCGCCAUUUUCAAAAGCAAACCAUAUCAUCCAGGCUGAAUCAAGGCUGAAAAAAAAAGAGAGAGAGAGAGAGAGAGAGAGAGAGCGAGCGAGCUUGAUGAGAAGAAAAAAAGUUUCUGGAAAAAUUGGGAAAUGAUACUUUCCUAAUAUCAUAGAGACUAUUGUUUUAUGAGUAUCUUAUGUCAUAUUUAUUUAUUAAAAAUUUGUUCUAAUUAGUUAUGUACGAUAGUAGUUAUGUCAUAUUUAACACUCAGAUAUUGCUAGCCCAAACUGGAUUCAGCUACUGUGAAUUUUCUUUUGUUAUCAUAUUACCUACAAACAAAUAAUUUUCUUCCUCCUUUCCAAUAUUUAUGACUCUUAUUAGAAAUGGUUAAAGCUCUCAGAACCAUAAGAAAUUGUGAUUGGAGGACUCAGGACUUGUCCUAAAGUUGUGGGUAUAGUGAGGCAUAUGGAUUUUAGAAUAUAUGUUGAUUUUGGAAAGAAGUUAAAGAGUUGAUAAGAGGGACAUCCCCACCCCUAUGACAUCCCUGGGCACCACCAUAAUAAGAAUGUCAACCAAAACCUCUAAGUAAAUGGCUAGAUCUAAAAUAGCUAUGUAAAAAUCAACCACUUUUCUACAUAAAAGCAAUAAACAGAUGUAAUUCGGGGUAAACAUUCUCUUCCUAAUGCAAAUAAGAACCUCAUAUAAUUCCAGAGAAAGAAGUUAUUUCCCAUUAACACAGUAAUCCUACUUCUAUGAAUCUAAUAAUUUCCUGGAAAACAGCCCAGAGUAAGAACAAAGGCUUAUUAUACAUGUUUACCCCAGUACAUUUUUUUUUAAAGAAAAGAACAAAGUUAUUCAGAGUAAUAGGGUGAUAAUUACGUAUGUGGAAAUUAUAUAUGAGGAAAUUAUUAUGUGUCUGGAAAAUGAAAUAUUAAGCUGCAUUAUUUAUAAAGAUAAUGUUGUAAACUGUUUAAAUAUUUAUCAAUCACAUUCUGUUUACAUUGAGAUUUUUCAACCUCAGCAACUAUUGACAUUUUGGAUGGAUGAUUCUUUGCUGCAGCAGGGGUGGAGGGGAGAAGUUCUGUGUGUUGUAGGAUGUUUAAUGGUGUCCCUGGCCUUUACCCACUAGAUGCCAAUAGCAUCUACCCCCAAUUACUGCAAUAAAAAUGUUCCCAAAUCUUGUCAACUGUCUGCUGGGUGGGAGGAAGUAGGGUCAAAAUCACCUGUGGUUGAGAACCAGUAGUUUAAAUCUAGUGUCUAUGUAAUAGCUCACUACCCAGUCCUUAAGAAGAAUAACACAGUUUGGUAGGUAUUAGUACAGAACAAACCCCAUGAUAUUUGGAAAGCGACAGAAGCAAGGUAUAGAAAUUAUAGCACAGUAAAGGAUUUAUAUAAAAGCAAAAGGUAUACCUUUAUUGUUUAAUGGUUUAUUAUCAGGAUUAUUGUUAGGAGGACGGAUUAUUUUAAUGCAUGGUUACUUCCACAGACUAUAUGGAAUCAAAGAAAAUAACAUUACACAAUAAGAGAACAAACAACCCAAUCAACAAAUGGGCCAAGGACCUGAACAGACACUUCUCAGAGGAGGACAUACAGUCAAUCAACAAGUACAUGAAAAAAUGCUCAACAUCUCUAGCUGUCAGAGAAAUGCAAAUCAAAACCACCCUAAGAUACCAUCUCACUCCAGUAAGAUUGGCAGCCAUUAUGAAGUCAAACAACAACAAGUGCUGGCGAGGAUGUGGGGAAAAGGGUACACUUGUACAUUGCUGGUGGGACUGCAAAUUGGUGCAGCCAAUUUGGAAAGCAGUAUGGAGAUUUCUUGGAAAGCUGGGAAUGGAGCCACCAUUUGACCCAGCUAUUCCCCUUCUUGGUCUAUUCCCUAAAGACCUAAAAAGAGCAUGCUACAGGGACACUGCUACAUCGAUGUUCAUAGCAGCACAGUUCACAAUAGCAAGACUGUGGAACCAACCUAGAUGCCCUUCAAUAGACGAAUGGAUAAAAAAAAUGUGGCAUUUAUACACAAUGGAGUAUUACUCUGCAUUAAAAAAUGACAAAAUCAUAGAAUUUACAGGGAAAUGGAUGGCAUUAGAGCAGAUUAUGCUAAGUGAAGCUAGCCAAUCCCNUUGGAGAAGGUCUUCAAGGCCAAGCUUGAUCUCUAGUUGGGAGUGAAUGGCUGAUAUUAUACAUUCUGAAACUGUCAGGUUGAAAUAAUUUUGUUAAAAUAGAGCCAUUUCUAGCCUAAAAGUUCAGCUUUUUUGGAGAGUUUUUUUUUUUUCAUGUAACCAUUUAUAGUAUGGGUGUUUUAUUUUGUGGAGAGUAUUAUUUAUGUCGGUGUUUCUCAACUGGAUAAUUUUGCCCACCCAGGUCAUUUGGCAAUUUAUAUAGGCAUUUCUGGUUGUCACAACUGAUAUGACACUGCCAUCUAGCGGAUAGUGGCCAGAGAUGCUGCUAAGUAUCCUAUGGUGCACAGGGCAGGUCCCACAACAAAGAAUUAAAACCUGGUUUAUGUCAACAGGCAUAAACCACGUAGAGGAAGGGAGAAUUUUAACUGAAAUAUUCUUUGAAAAUAAUCCAAAUAAAGUCCAAAUUUUCCCAUCCAUCUCACCCAAACUACAUUACAAUUACAAGCAGAAACCAUCCAUUCAUCCGAGAAUACUUUCCUAAAAUUCUUAAGUAGAAAAGUUGGUGUGUGUACAUGUGUGUAAAAAGACUCUUAACUAGUUAUUAAAAGAUUAUUUUAUGUUGGGCAUGGAGGUACGCUCCUGUAAUGUCUCAGAAAGCUGAGAUAGGAAGAUCGCGAGAUCAAAGACAGCCUCAGCAAAAGUGAAGUGCUGAGCAACUCAGUGAGACCCUGUCUCUAAAUAAAAUGCAAAAUAGGGCUAGGGAUGGGUCUGGUGGUUGAGUGCACCUAAGUUCAAGCCCUAAUACCAAAAAUAGUAAUAAUAAAAUAAAAUAAAAGGACUGGGGAUGUGGCUCAGUGGUUAAUUGCCCCUGGUACAAAAAAAAAAAAAAGAAUUGUUGUCCCCUCAUUUUACAAAUGAGGCACUCCCCAAGCUGAAAUAAUUGAAUGAUUGUGUUAAAGCAGAACCAUCUUUAGCCUAAAGAAAUGGUGAUUUGUCAAGUUCACUUGCAGAGCAGGAUUGGACAGGCCCGUGUGAUCCCAGGCCCACACUUGUCCACUCUUCCAUACUACCACUCCCUUCCAGAACAAGGUUGCCUUUCUGUACAUGUGAUGUUCUUUCAAUACACUCACAUGUUCCGAUGAGUAAAAGGUUUUAUUACUAUUAGAAAUGAGAUUGCAUGACUAGCAUAGAUCACAGAACUAUUAAACAUUCCAUACUUCUUCCAAACUUAUUUACUAUGGGACCUGAUGUUUUCUGGGGUUAGGAAUCCAGAUUUUCCUACCUGAGAGUGCAAAGUAAUGCUGUUUAUCUGAACUUCUAGUUUAAUGAAAAAAUGAAUUGUUAUACCUGGAUAUAGAAGGCUUUCUAAAGUCACAAGGAGACCCUUCAUGAUCUAAUAACAUAAUAGUUAACAAAUUCAUACUUAAAUCACUCAUACAUUUUAUUACAAACUAAAAAUUCUUUCUCUUCUUUUGUACACUUCUGGCCCCACCUUACCCUGGGUUUUCCUCAAUAUAUCAAUCUUUUAAGGCCCAUCUGGAAAGAUGCCUCUCCUGCGAAUAAUUCCCUAAUUCUUCCAGAUUCUUCUUUACCAGAAUUAAUCCUUCUGUGUAUCCACUGGAACUGUUCCUAUUCCUCUUUAUCUUUUGUUUUUUUAAUUUUUUUAAAGUUGUAGAUGGAUACAGUAUCUUUAUUUUUAUUUAUUUAUUUUUAUGUGGCGCUGAGGAUCGAACCCAAGGCCUCACGCAUGUGAGGCAAGUGCUCUGCCACUGAGCUACAGUAACCCCAGCCCUCCUCUUUAUCUUUUCUACACUUGUCUGUAUAUUUUAAUAGCUUAUCCCCUACUGGAAUGGUAGCUCCCUAAGAGUAGAGAAGUAAUGGUCACUAUGUUCCUUCUUGAUGAUUCCUAACUUCCUGUUUGUGAUUCUUAUUAUAUUUCCCCCUGUGCAGGCCAAAAUGAAAAACAGAAAAAUGAUUAAGAAAAUAGUAGGGAUAAGUUUAUUUUAUUUAAAAUAAUGCCAAGUGUAGUGAUACACACCUGUAAUCCCUGCUACUCAGGAGACUGAGGCAGGAGGAUCACACGCUCAAGGCCAACCUGGACAAAUGUAGCGAGACCCUGUCUCAAAAAAUAAAGAGGGCUGGGGAUGUGACUCAUUGCUUAAAUGCCCUUGGGUUUAAUCCCUGGUACCAAAAAUAAAUUAUUUAAAAUUUUGGAAAGAUUCUUUUUUAUGUAGAUAUUGCUAUUAUUUCUUUUUUGAUUGUUUACAUGGACUUUCUUUUAUAAAAUGAUGGCCAUAUAGUCUUCAUGUCUCUUCAAAAUUAUUGAGCUUAUGAAAAGCAAGGAAAGAAUGAGAAAGUGCCACAGGUGGAAGAAACUGAAGAGACACGAUGACAUGGAUCCUGGAGCAGAUAAAAGACAUUAGUGGAAAAAUUGGUGAAAUCCAUAUAUGUUAUAUACUUUACUUAAUAGUGACAUAUCUAAUCAAUGGGUACAAACUUACAUUUAGGGGAAAAAUUUCUGGUAAAAAUUGCUUACAGCCUCCCUAAGUUACUGAGGCUGGAUUUGAACCUGUGAUCCUCCUGCCUCAGCCUCCUGAGCCACUGGGAUUACAGGUGUGUGCCACCACGCCCAGCUAUAAUAACGUUUUUAAUUAAAUAUUAAAACCAAAGUGAAAUUGACACAAGUCUCUCAAACCUGUACCUAUGUAAGAGCCCUACAAGCCCCAAUCUGCCUAGGACUCUGUGCUGGAGUAGUUUUCAGGCACUUCAUUCUCAGGUGUCUCCCUGGACAAUUUUUGAUCAGAGUUUGAGCUGAGCAGAAUAACUUCCCUCUAAACUACAACAUAGCUGGUGCUUUGGCGAUAAGAUGGCAGCCUGCUACACUGACACUCAGUUCUUAAGCUCAGGUGCCAUGCAUGUGCUAGAAGGCAUAUUUACUUAUCCUGGUUUGGUGAGGCGUGAUUGUGGAAGUGAGCACACAUCAUUUGGGUCAGCAGAGGGCGCUCUUAAGCAACAGUCGUAGUCACUACCUACUUUCUCUACUGGGUGUGGACAGAAGACUGUUGCAUGGGGGAGAUUUUGUAUAAUCGUAGAAGUUGGGAAAUCAUUCCUUUGAGGAUCCUUAAAUAUAACGUGGAAGGUAAAACAAUGCAGGUAAAGCACCUUUAUCACAUUUUAUAGAAUGUAGGUGGUACCAGUUAGGAAGCUGGGCUACUGAUUACAUGGACAGGCAGCAGUAAUUUGUCCGAAGAGAUUCCUCAACAGUUUGAACUUGUUCUGGAUUCAAAGAGGAAGAGGCAUCCUAUCCCUGUGAUUCUAGAAGUAGAUGCUGCUAUUCAGCUUGACUGAAUACUUAGGUUUGUGGAUAUGAUUAAUGUGCAUGUCUAGAAAUUUUAAUCAGAAUAAAAGGAAAAUGAGUAGGUUUAGGAGACUUUUGAGAAUGUGAACAACAGAAAAAUAUGAGGAAAAUAGCCAGAUUUCUCUCUCUCUCUCUCUCUCUCUCUCUCUCUCUCUUUGUAGUUAGAUAUUAUCGGGUAGAACUCCUCAAUGUCCAUACCAAUGAAGGACUCUAUGAUCACUUCAAAUCAGGAUACUGUGGCUCUGGGUCCCUUGGCUAAGCUCUUCUUUUCACUUAGGAAUCAUGAAACCUAUUAUCAGCUUUGCAUACUGAGGCAUGAGAUCCUUUCUCUGAGCUAGCCAGUUCACCUGAAGCCACUGACAUUGGUAAUGUCCUGUUGUUACCUGUGUGAAACCCCUACAAUCUGGCUGCUAUUGCAAUUGGGGAGGGUGAAAAUAGUUUUAUUUUCAGAGACAGAAAAUGUUGAUUUACGUCCUUGCUCUGCUCUUAGGAACCACACACCCUAAUUGUACUUGGCCACAAUGUUUUCAUCAGCAAUGUGUAGAUGAUGAUAUGUACCCAGCGUCAGAUGCUUUGUAAAGACUGAAAUUCUAUGCAAAGGCAAGAUGUCAUUCGUUCAUUCAUUCAUUCAGCGAAUCUUCAGUGUCAGCUGUAUGCUGGGUUUUGUUGAAGAUGAGUUUAAAAAAAGUCCUUGCCCUCAGGGAUUUUAUGUUCUCUUAGGGAAGAUGGGUAAUAAAUGAAUAACCAAAUAAUUUUAUAAUAUAGUGUUAUGUAGUAAAAAAUCUGGAAGAAACAAAUCAGGGUAUGAGAUAAAGAUUAGAUUGAAAUGAAACUGUAAAAUUAAUAUGUGAUAUUAAUUAUAAUAAUAAUAAAGACUAGAUUAAUAAAUUAGAUGCAAUGGGCUGGUUGAGGCAGGUUUACUUAGGCAGUGACAUUGAGCAGAGGCCUGAAUGAUGUGAGGAAGUGAACCAUGAGAACGUUGGGGGAAAUAUAUAUCAGAAAGCAUGAGGAUCUGAGGGAGGACCCACAAAUGGGAUCUCUGCCCAAGGAGGUGUAACAGAUGGGCUAAGUCUAGAACUUACUGAGCAGGUACUUUGCACACAUGACCUCAUAGCUUCCUUCCAAGGUCCAUUUUUUUUUUUUUUUUUUUUUUGGUACUGGGAAUUGAACUCAGGGGCACUUGACCACAGAGCCACAUCCCCAGCCCUAUUUUGUAUUUUAUUUAGACUCAGGGUCUCACUGAGUUACUUAGUGCCUCACCAUUGCUGAGGCUGGCUUUGAACUUGCAAUCCUCCUGCCUCAGCCUCCAGAGCUGCUUAGAUUAUAAGCAUGCGCUACCACACCCGGCCCAAUGUUCAUUUUAUACAUGCAUAAAUUGAGCCUCCAAGAAAUUAAAGGACUUCACCCCACAUCUCACACCUGGUAAAUAGCAAACCUGAGAUUCCAACCAGGGCACCCAAACUUGACUGAUUUCUGGAGACAGAGCCAUGUCAACAAUGGGAAGUGAAAGCAGGAGUCCCCGAAGCAUCUGGGCCUCUUCAGGGUGUGACACAGAAAUGUCAUGAAGGGACCUAGUAGAAUUUAAAGUAGCUGGGUUUGCCUGUGGGCUAAACACCUGAACUGUGUUGGUCAUUUUCUUCCUUUUUAAUUAAAACUACUUUUUGUUUCUUGUGAAGGUACCUAUGCGGGGUUUUGGAUUAGAUGAAUCAGUUUAGUGGGAUGAUUUUUUUAAGUUUUUGAGUGAUUGCUCAAGUUGGCAAAUCCUUGUUAAACAUUGUUAAAAUAUUUGUGUAAACUAGCUUGUGUUCUUCAUUGUAUGGAUUCUGACAUCAUAUUUCUAUCCCUGACACUAGUUAGCAGAGUCUAUUAUGCAGGCUGUUCCUUGGUGGCAUUUCUCAUCAGCCAUAUAUGACCUCAACUUGUGUUUUCGUUUUGUUUUACUCAGCUACCAAGAGGCAGGGGAAAAAGCUACCACUUAAGGGCAAAUGUAAAUGAAAGAAAAAUAUAAUUUCCCCUAUGAUAUAAACUUUUUGCUUUAAAGAAAAAGUCUUGCAUCUUAUUGCGAAACAGAAUGAGGCACCCACACUCUUCCUUCUAGGUACCAUUUGGAAAGAAACAACAAACUAUAUUUUCUUUUGGGUUAUAAUUCUUCAGAAUUAAUUUACAGUUCCUUGAGGGACACCUUUCCUAAAUUACAUAUGGCAAGUGACACUUUUCUGUCAUCACUGUUAUGGGUUUGUUUCUUUCUCUCUCCAUACACAAACACAAAGAAAUAAGAAUUGACAAGGAAGCAAAAAUAUUUAGUAAAGAUCCAUGGAAAGGUCUAGAAGGAGGAAAGGAGGAAGACAGACCAAGAAGCACAUCAACUGCUUUAAGAAAACACCUGGUUCAGAUUACAAACUUCUUACUUAAUUGGACACACACACAACCCUUGACUUUAAACAUAACACUCAGAAUUCGUCAGCCACCCACGGCAAUUCUCCAGGUGUUUGUGAUUAUGUAAUGCCCUCAAAAAUCAUCUGGAUUGUGUCAGCUCUCAGAAGUACUGCUUGACUUUUUGUAAAAAGAAAUCCUCUACGGACAUUAAUUUAUAUGUAAGGUCUCAGGGUAACAUUUAUAGCACUUAGCCAAAAAUAAAAGAUUAUAAUAAAAGGUCAGGGUUUCCUUGGUUUCUGAGGAGGUUUUUUUGCUUUAAGUAGUAAAAGGUAGGCAUUAUGUGUUCAAUAAUUCUUCAUUGACCAGACUUCUAAUUCAGAUUUUAUAGUCUUUGGGGUGGGAGAAACAAUGUUUACUUUAUUAAUAAUCAGGGAGAAAGAGAAGGUCCACACUGCAAACGUGAAGGAAAAGGGGAGACGACUAUCUUUGCAAUUUUUGAGAACAGGGUUGAAGUUGCUCUCCAAAAUCAAAUUUGAAAAUUAAAAAACAAAACAAAACAAAACACCUCUCCUCUCUUGGUGUCCACUUAAAUUUUCAUCUUUAAAUGAGUCACAACACAAUUUAUUUAUUUUUUUUGAAGUUCCCUGGCAUAUUUUCUGAUGAUUAGCAAGUUGAAAGUCCUUAGGCUUGGAUAACUGAAAAUUUGGGGAUGGAAAAUAAUAUGAUUGGAAAGGGACUAUUUGAGAACCCAAAGGGGAGCUUCAGUACCAACACAAUGGGAAUGGCUUUUCUUAUCCAAUUAUUUAAAUUGAAAGUGUAUAUGUAGGGCUUGGGCUGUGGCUCAGUGGUAGAGCACUUGCCUAGCAUGUGUGAGGCACGGGGUUCAAUCCUCAGCACCACAUAAAAAUAAAUAAAAUAAAGGUAUUAUGUCAAUCUACAACCAAAAAUAUUUAAAAAUAAUGUAUGAGUAGCAGGAAAAGGAAUGCCAUUCUAGACCCACUCCUUAGAGUUUAGCUGACUGUUGUUUGAAAAUUGGAAAGUUUUUACUCCUAUUCUGACACGAAUAUCCUCUAUAAAAAUUACAGGUCUUUUCCACCUAGUAUACAUGUUAAAGUCUGAGCUAUAUGGCCUUAUAUGUGAUAGGGAGUUAUUCUUCUUAUUCUUCAUAUUUCUUCUUAUGUCUCCUUGCUUUUCUGUUCAUCUGUGGUUCACCUAAGCAGGGAACAGAUAUUUACCAACAUCUACAUGCAUAGAAAGAAGCAGAACACUUAUUCUCAUCCCGCUGAUUAGAGGCAGCAUCUUUAUUUUUUCUAAAAUAAAAAGCUAUUUCCAUUAGAAAAGUAAAUUAAUCAUUGCCAAAAUUCAAACUAUCAGAAAAAUGGAAGAUUUUCUUUCCAUUUUUAUUUAUUUUCAAUAAUAUAUACCUGCAAUUCCGUUACUUGAAGAUGACUGCUGUUCACAUUUGGGUAUGUGUCUAUCUGAGCACUUUCAUGUACACUAACAAUAACUGGAUAAAAUUUUACUGAUUGAACCCAUUUAAAAACACUUGUAUUUGACUCCUUUAUAAAUGGAGUUGCUGUUCUUUGACCUAUUUUUUUGAUUAAAUAAUCAUUGAUUUUUUUCUGUGUCAAUAGAGAUCUAUACCACUUUUUAUCAAUUGCAUAGUAUUCUCUUAUAUGGCUAUAUUAUAAUUAAGUGUCUGAUAUUAAUCCAUCACCUAGAUUGUUUCUGUCUUUUUUUCUAUUGUAAUAAAUAUUGCAAAGGAUAGAUUUCUGCAGACAUUUUGUAUUUCUUUUGUCUCAUUAGAUUCUAAUCUUGGAAGUAUAUUAUUUAUAUUUAAUUCAUCCACUGGAAUAUGGUUUUCUAUUUGGUGGGAGUUUUCUCAUAUGAUCACUCAGUAAUUCCAAUACUGUUUAUUGGAAAAUGCUUGUCUGCCCCUCUGAUUUAAGAUCGCUGUUAUCAAAUAUUAAUUUCACAUACAAAUGGCUCUUUUGUUCCUGUGUCAAUGUUGUACUGUCACUGUUACCAUAGUAAGUCUCUAGGUAUGAUGAGUUUUAUAGUUAAAAACCUAUAACCUCUAAUUUCUGAAGCCAUCUGCCUAUCACCUGCUAGAGUAAAGGUUCUGCCUAGGCUGUUCUGUUCACAGUGAACCUUAACAGCAUUGUUUUGCACGAUGAAACAUGGAGAGUCCUCUGUUAGCUAGCCUGGAUUUGUAGUAUAGUAAGUGCUUUAUAAAUAUUUGGUUCCAAGAACUGGUACCGAACACGGUUAGCUCAAGAAGAGGAGGGUUUACUCUCAGGCUACAAGAUAAAACUUCAACAGCACCACAAUACAGGUCUUUUAUUGCCUUGGUUUGGGAUAUGAAGAGGCAUAAUGAAUAAUGAGCUGGUUCCCAGCUUGAGUUGUCAACCAAUUGAGAAGAUUAAAAAAAAAAGAAAAGAAACAUGGCAGACAAAAAUGUACCUUCAUUUCUGAUAAGGCUGAUAUUGGAGAAGGUGGCUUAUAUCUGCAGGCAGGUCAUGCUCCUGAAAACUAGGCAGACAUACUCAGAUCUCACUAACAGUGUUGGACCCCUGAAUGCCACUUCUAUGAGGGCUGGUCCCCUCCCAGAGGCCAAGAACUAAAGAGGACUCUUACUUUCGGGGCGGGGCUGAGAUCUAAGAGGAAGGGGAAAGAAAGCAGUUCAGCUUUGCAAGCUCAGUUUCUUCUUUCAAGUCUACUUGACUGUGAAGGGGAGGGUGAGGUACAAGAGGCAAAGUGUGGCCUGCAAGGUAGCGCACACGUGCCAUUCCAGUGGCUUGGGAAGCUGAGACAGGAGGAUCAUGAGUUCAAAGCCAGCCUCAGAAAAAGCGAGGCCCUAAGCAACUCAGUGAGACCCUGUCUCUAAAGAAAAUACAAAAUAGGGCUAGGGGUGUGGCUCAAUGGUCAAAUGCCCCUGAGGUCAAUCCCUGGUAGCCCUCUCCAAAAGAAAAGAGGCAAAGUGUGUUGAUAUUAAUGAAGUUUCCUUCAUGCCGAAGCAUACAUCAAAAAAGGGAGCACAGGUUCUAAGCCUUUGUGGAAGGUCCUACCCUGCUUUAAUCAGCUGUGACUGAUGGAGCAUUACUCACAUGGAAUGGGUGAGAAUAUGGCAGUAGGAGGCUAAAGUUAUGGAUCAAUCCAGAAUAGUACUACUAUUUGUUUUAUUUCUAGGAACUUUCUCAUCUCCCUGUUGCCAUUCCCAUUUGUUGGAUGAGUCCUGUUUUUUUUUUUUCCUCACUUCUUGACUUUCACACAUGCCUGGAAUACACUUCCUGCCCAUCACCACCACCAUCUUUUUUUUCCUGGUAUACUCCUAUCCCUCACCUCCUCUGAGGAGCUUUACCUUGCACUCAAGUGUUAGUAAACUACCCACCUGUCCUUAUCAGCACCAUGUUCUAACUUGGCAGGAUGCAAGUUCUCUGUUUUACUUCCUGCCUGAUAUUUGUCUUUCCCAUGAGAACAGAAGCUUCAUGAAGACAAUUAACAUAUCUGUCUUUUCUACUCUUUUUGUUUUUAAUCUUCUCCCAACAUGAUAUAUAGAACUUAUAAAGGAAUAGUGUAGAUGAAUUCAUCUUCUUAAUGUUUUUAAAUGAUUAUCAUAGGUUUUAUACCUUUGAAUUGAUGAUCUUAUGAUUAUUUUCCCCAACACAAAUUUAUAGGAAAAAUGAUUUUAAAAACACAUUGCCACUUAUGAGUUAUAAAAUAACUUUUUGAAUUUCAUGUUAAAUGUCUACUUAGGUCUACUUUUUAUACUUUGUUAUAAAGCAAAGACAUACUACAAAAGCAAUCUAGCCUGAAUAUAUUUGAGAGGUUCUUGUGUAGAGGAGAAAAUAAUUAUGUUUGUGUAAAACAGAAGUAUCUGAUGUAUAUGUUAAGAACUUCAUAACUAGUUUUUCUUUUCUUUUUUUAAAUUGAUGGACCUUUUCUUUAUUCAUUUAUUUGUAUGUGGCGCUGAGGAUCAAACCCAGUGCCUUACACAUGCUAAGCAAGCACUCUACCACUGAGCCACAACCCCAGCACUCCCCCCGCCUUUUUUUUUUUUUUUGACUUAUUUCAGACAAGAGGCCUAACAGUGUUGGCCUAUUUUUUAUUAGGUACUGGGGAUUGAACCCAGUGGCACUUAAUCACUAAGCCACAUCCCCACCCCUUUUUAUUUGUUUAUUUAUUUAUGAGAUGGGGUCUUGCUGUUAUGGUUUAGUUUUUGUUUUGUUUUGUUUUUGUGGUGCUGAGGAUUGAACCCAGGGCCUUGUGCAUGCGAGGCAAGCACUCUACCAACUGAGCUAUAUCCCCAGCCUGCUGUUAUGAUUUACAUGUGAGGUGUCCCCCAGAAGUCCAUGUGUGACACAAUGCAAGAGGGUUCAGAGGAGAAAUGAAAGAUUGGGUUAUGAGAGCCUUUACCCAAUCAGUGACUUAAUCCCUGAUGGUAUUAACUGAGUGGUAACUGGAGGCAGGUGAGGUGCUGCUGGAGGAGGUGAUUCACUGGGUCAUGGCUAUGGGGUAUAUAUUUUGUGUCUGGAGAGUAGAGACUUUCUCCCUUGCUUCCUGAUCGUCACCUAGAGCUGCUUCCAUCUGCCAUGAUGUCUACUUCACCUCACCAUGAUGUCCACCUCAUGGAGACUGCUGUCUAUGGACUGAGACCUCUGAAACCAUGAUCCCCUGAAUAAACCUUUUCUCCUCUACAGUUGUUCUGGUUGGGUCUUUCAGUCGCAGCAGAAAAAAAAAAAAAAAAAGCUGACUAAAACACUCACUGAGUUACUUAGGGCCUUGCUAAAUUCCUGAGGCUGGAUUUGAAUUUGUGAUCGAUCCUUCUGCCUCAGCCCCUCUGGAGCCACUGAAAUUACACGCAUGGGCCACUGUGCCCAGACAUAACUAGUUUUUUUUCAAUAUAUAUAUUUUUAGUUAUAGAUGGACACAAUAUCUUUAUUUUAUUUAUUUAUUUUUAUAUGAUGCUGAGGAUUGAACCCAGUGCCUCAUGCCUGCAAGGCAAGCGCUCUACCACUAAGCUACAACCCCAGCCCCAUAACUAGUUUUUCUUACCUCUUCGGCAUAGUUUUUUUUUUUUCCUUCUUCUUUAAAUAAUAGUUUCACUUGCUUUUUUUAGUUGAGAUUUAGGGAAUUGGUAACAGUUGCAAGUUCAAGAAGUUGGUAAGAAGCAUAAUUCAUUCUUUUAAAAUACUGACUUAAACUGCUAUAUUUGGUUGAAAAUUAAGUCUAGAUACAUAAUAAUAGAUGUUGGGAUUUUAAUCACAAUUGGCUUUUUCUGGUUCAUUCAUUUAAUAAUGGUUGAUAAAAUUUUGAAGUGAAAUUUCUGGUAUUAAAAAAGAUAAUGAUAUUAGGAAAAUAUUGAGAUAGCUAAAGUAUGAAAAAGUCAUCCAAUAAUGUAAAUGUUAGAAGUUGUUACCCUUAAGCCUGAGGUAAGGAGCCCUGAGUGGUUUGCAGAUAAACAGCAUUUUUUUAAUGUUCCUUUCAGGACUAUCUGGGCUGAUUGGCAAUUCCUGUAGGAGUAAAAGAUGAAUUUCACAAAUGUUUACAAAUUGAGCAAAACGGUUGUCAAAUCUAAAUAGAAUGUACAAAGAGAUCCUUGUAUCUUGACACACAUGACAUUUUAAGUCUUACAUGCUAAAUUGUGCAUUUCAAAAAACAAUAUUACUACAUCCCUUAGGUAAUUAAAAAUUCUAAGUAUUUGGUUUCUCUUUAAUCCUUGUUUUCUAGGGUAAUCAUAAUAGCCUUAAAAAUGAGAAUUUUAGAACUGCUUGAUUUUUUUCUUAUAAAAAUUAUUUUUUCACAUAUUUAUUGGCUCAUUAUAGGUGUAUAUAAUGGUGAGAUGUUGUUAUGUAAUUUGUACAUGCACAUGAUAUAGCAGUAUAAUUUGGCCAAUAACACUCCCCAGUACUUUCUCCCUUGAUUUUUUUUCCUUUUAGUAAAAUAAUGAUAGGAGGGAGGCUCAACUUUCUUCUGCUUUUCAGAGUUUUCCACCCAUACAAAAUGCUCACCAUUGUUGACUGUUGAUUUUCAAAUUCAUUUUUCUAGAUCAUAUUGUCAAAUAGAAAUUUUUGUAAAGAUGGAAUAUUUGCCAGGCAUGGUGGCGCAUGCCUGUAAUCCCAUCAGCUUGGGAGGCUGAAACAGGAGGAUCACGAGUUCAAAUCCAGCCUCAGCAACAGUGAGGCCCUAAACAACUCAGUGAGACCCUGUCUCUAAAUAAAAUACAAAAUAGGGCUGGGGAUGUGGCUCAGUGGUCGAGUGCCCCUGAGUUCAAUCCCUGGUACAAAAAAAAAAAAAAGAGAUGGAAAUAUUCUGUAAUAUUCCCCAUCCAUUAUGGUAGCCAUUAGCCACUUGGGGCUAUUGAGCUAUUAAAAUGUGGCUGGUGCAACUGAGGAGCUGAAUUGAAAUUUUAUUUGAUUUUAAUUAAUUUAAACUUCAGCAGCCCCAUAUGGCUAGUGGCUACUCUGUUGGAUAGCACAGAAUUUCCAUUUUUAGAUUCAAUAUGGACAUAAGUCCAGAAAAGUGGACUUUAUGUGAAUUUAUUUGACAUAUUUCAUAAGAAUUUAUUGAGUACCUAGUAAAUUUGUGUGCCUAGUGUGAGAAAUGUUUCAUUUGGACUCUCUGAAUUGGCUUUUAGGGGAAAGUAUGGAGAUCUGAGAUGCAUCAUCCCACAAACCUGUGAACAAGGCCUUGGUAGCAGGGACCUUACUAUUUCAACAGGAGUUGCCCUCUUUCACCCUGAGCUACAGGGCCAUCAUCUACCUGCUGAGGGAGUGAGCCCAGUAACUGGCUAUGAGCUCUGGCAUGCCAGGGCUGUUGCAUCUGAAAUGCUCUCAAAGACUUUGCAUGGGUGGGUAGUGUGACCCUGUCAUUGAGACUCCCUCAGCUUGCUUUACUUUCUUAAUUAUUCCCAACAUUUUUUUUUUUUGAGCACCAGAGAUUGAACUCAGGGCCACUCAACCACUGCUGAGUUGCUUAGCACCUUGCCUUUGCUAAGGCUGGUUUUGAAUUUGUGAUCCUCCUGCCUCAGCCUCCCAAACCACUAGGAUUACUGAGUGCACCACUGCACCCAGCACUCUUGACAUUUUCCUCAACAAAUUUUUGGUGGAAAAAUCCAACAACUCUUCCCUGACACUUGAUACUUUUGUCUUCCCCUCCCCCAGUUUUAUUGAUACAGAAGACAAGUUAAAAAAAUGUACAAUGUGAUGUUUUGAUACAUGUAUUCAGUAUGGAAUGAUUAUCACCUCACAUAGUUACUUUGUAUGUGUGUAUAUGCUGAAGAUCUACUACCUUAUCAAAUUUCACAUAUACAGUGCAUUAUUAAGAACUCUAAUUACAUGCUGUGCAGUGGGUGUCCAGAAAUUUUUGAUCUUAUAACUGCAAGUUUAUACCCUUUGACCUACAUUUCUGUAUUUUUCCUGUCCCUGAUCCCUGGUAACCACCCUUCUACUUUCUGUUUCUAUAAAUGAGAUCAUGCAAUAUUUGUCUUUCUGAGUCUGGCUUAUUUCACUUAACAUAAUGUCCUCUGGCUUCAUCUAUACUGUUGGAAAUGACAGGAUAUCCUACUUCUUUAAGACUUUGAAUAAUGUUUUACUAUAUCACAAUUUCUUUAUCUACUCACCCAUUUGCAGACAUUUAGAUUGUGUCCAGACCUUGGCUGAAGAGUGUUGCAGUGAACAUGGGAGAGCAGAUAUCUCUUCAAAAUUUUAUUUACUUUUUGAAUAUAUACCUAGAAAUGAGAUUGCUGGAUCCUGUGAUAGUUCUGUUUUUUAAAUUUAUUCAGGAAUGCCUAUACUGUUUUCCAUUGUGGCUCUACCAAUUUACAUUCUAACUAGGAAUAUAUAAGGGUUCCCUUUACGCCACAUCUUCAUCAUCACUCAUUAUAUUCUGGCCAUUUAAUAAUAGCCAUCCUGACAGGUGUGAAUUCAUAUGGCAUUGUGGUUUUGAUUUGCAUUUCUUUGAUAAUUAGUGAUGCUAAAUAUUUUCACUUAUACCUGUUGGUCAUUUUAUGUCUUCUUCGAAAAAAUAUGUAUUCAGUUUCUUUGCCCGUUUUCUCCCCCCAUGGGAAAGCAACUUGAAAUAGGAGAAAAUAGUUUGCAAACCAUGAUAAGGAACUCAUACAAGCCAAUAACAAGAAACCACACAUAAUCGAAUUUUAAAUUGGGCAGAGGAUCUACUUUUUCUUCUGUUUGUUUUUUAAAGGUAUCUUAUCUUCUGGAAGGGGGAAGCAUGGCCCAUGAAGACUUCUGUGGACAUGUUGGUAAAAUGAACCCAGGAGAUGUGCAGGUAUAGCUAAGGG
This 30038-nucleotide long non-coding RNA is filed under the name Marmota monax (woodchuck). The stretch from base 11093 to 11161 matches the Rfam family "tRNA". Lineage: Eukaryota; Metazoa; Chordata; Mammalia; Rodentia; Sciuridae. The record is from RNAcentral.